This 483-nucleotide ribosomal RNA is filed under the name uncultured bacterium. Its description in RNAcentral is "partial 16S ribosomal RNA". It matches the Rfam family "Bacterial small subunit ribosomal RNA", at positions 28 to 507 of the family's 1533-position model. The record is from RNAcentral.
GACGAACGCUGGCGGCGUGCUUAACACAUGCAAGUCGAACGCUGAAGCUCAGCUUUUGUUGGGUGGAUGAGUGGCGAACGGGUGAGUAACACGUGAGUAACCUGCCUCCUUCUUUGGGAUAACGCCCGGAAACGGGUGCUAAUACUGGAUAUUCACUGGUCUUCGCAUGGGGGUUGGUGGAAAGGGUUUUUCUGGUGGGGGAUGGGCUCGCGUCCUAUCAGCUUGUUGGUGGGGUGAUGGCCUACCAAGGCUUUGACGGGUAGCCGGCCUGAGAGGGUGACCGGUCACAUUGGGACUGAGAUACGGCCCAGACUCCUACGGGAGGCAGAAGCGGGGAAUAUUGCAGAAUGGGCGAAAGCCUGAUGCAGCGACGCCGAGUGAGGGAUGGAGGCCUUAGGGUUGUGAACCUCUUUAGCUCAUGGUCAAGCCGCAACAAUGGUUGUGGUGAGGGUAGUGGGUAAAGAAGCGCCGGCUAACUACGUG